Molecule: ribosomal RNA, 462 nt
Filed under: uncultured bacterium
Lineage: Bacteria
Description: partial 16S ribosomal RNA
Rfam family: Bacterial small subunit ribosomal RNA
Source: RNAcentral
GACGAACGCUGGCGGCGUGCUUAACACAUGCAAGUCGAACGGAAAGGCCUUUUCGGAGGUACUCGAGUGGCGAACGGGUGAGUAACACGUGGGUGAUCUGCCCUGCACUCUGGGAUAAGCCUGGGAAACUGGGUCUAAUACCGGAUAGGACCGCACUUUAGUGUGUGUGGUGGAAAGUUUUUUCGGUGUAGGAUGAGCCCGCGGCCUAUCAGCUUGUUGGUGGGGUAAUGGCCUACCAAGGCGGCGACGGGUAGCCGGACUGAGAGGUUGGUCGGCCACAUUGGGCCUGGGUUCGGGCCCGGCCCCCUACGGGGGGCAGCAGGGGGAAAUAUUGCACAAUGGGCGCAACCCUGAUGCAGCGACGCCGCGUGGGGGAUGACGGCCUUCGGGUUUUAAACCCCUUUCCCCGGGGACGAAGCGUUUUUGGCGGGAACCUGGAGAAAAGCCCCCGCUAACCUCCGG